CAGCAGCAGUCGUCUCAGGUGUAGCAGUGCUUAUCACCAGCGUCGCGACGACCACUGGCAGCCAUGGUGGUGCAUCUGUUGUGGAUCAUCAACCAGUCCGGUCAACUCAUCACCAAGACGGCCUUCACGAGCCCUGAUAACAUCGGCGAACUUGGGGCCAACCCGGAUAUGCAGUUGACCUUGUCCAGCGUCCUCUUCUCAACCUGUGGCAUGUCGCAGCAACUGACGCCGAACGCCGACCCACUCGACAGCGCCUGCAUGACCCUGGUCGAGUGCGAGGAGCACAACAUCCACGUCUACGAGACCCCGACCUCGGUGAAGUUUGUGCUCUUCUCCGACAACCGAACGAUGGAGUGCACGAAUUUGUUCAAGGAGCUCCACGCCCUGUACGCGGAGUUUGCGACCAAGAACCCCUUUCAUACCGUGGACGAUGCCGGCAUUGGCCAGCCCAUUCGCAUCCCCGCGUUCACCGAAGCCAUCAGGACAACGGUGGCCAAGUACCAGCGCAUGUGAGAAGGCAGCCUCACGCCACCAGCGCAUGAUGCCUUGCUUGUGUGUGCGUGUGUGAUGCCGAAGAGGGAUGCAGAGCAGCGAUAGGUUGGCCCGAUGUGGACAGGUCUUGCUUUCCCUCUCCCAGCGCAGAACAAAAAUGCGUGCGCAUGUCUGCCGGGCCGGUACUCCCGACCAACAGAGCUGGCCGUGAGCCGUUCUUGCGUGCCCUUCUUGUCGCUACUACGUCUUGGACGUGCUACUGCUUGACGUGCGCCCAUUUUUUCUUUUGACUUUUGGUCUUCGCCGCGUGCAUUCGUAGUUGGAGUGGGGCUGAGGUCAGGCUGCCCGCACUCUUGUAUGCCUUGGUAUGUGUACCUUCGUGACGGCGUGCCCUUGCGUGGCUGCUUUCGGCACAGCAGAUAUCUGUUUCCGCAACGAAUCACAGGAUAGGCAAGGAAACCUACAGUCGGCUCUUGCGCUGGAGGAUUUAGGGUACGCAUGUGAAGCGAGUACGUGUCUUUGAUAUUCGACGCAUCUGCACGGUCAAGGAGAAGCAGCAAAGUCUCACUGACGUCGCUUCCUCAUCUCCUUUAGGCCUGCGCUGUUCUCUGACGAACGCCUUGCGUCUUGCACCGCAUAUUCGUCUUCCCUUUCGCCGCCUUUGGGCUGUGAGGCGUCUUCUCUCGCCUCUCCUUCGUCACGGUGCCCUCUUCACCGUCUGUCUCUCUGCCUCACGUCCGACAUCUCUCUCGAUACUUUUCGUUGUCUCACUGUGUGUGCGCUGGUGUGCCCUUCGGUCACCUCCCCCUCUCUCUCGCACACCGACACUCACUCUUUGACACACACGCGCACACGCCGCACGCGCUGGCAACGGCGCCGCUGUGUGGCCACUCGCUUCCCUUCGCGCUUGCCCUGCGUGGCACCCCUUUGACUCUCCCUCUUCAG
Molecule: unclassified non-coding RNA, 1437 nt
Filed under: Leishmania donovani
Lineage: Eukaryota; Euglenozoa; Kinetoplastea; Trypanosomatida; Trypanosomatidae
Description: gene:LdHU3.32.3620(CDS-product:Sybindin-like_fami ly/Sedlin_N-inal_conserved_region_containing_protein_putati ve)
Source: RNAcentral